This 446-nucleotide ribosomal RNA is filed under the name uncultured bacterium. Its description in RNAcentral is "partial 16S ribosomal RNA". It matches the Rfam family "Bacterial small subunit ribosomal RNA", at positions 329 to 792 of the family's 1533-position model. The record is from RNAcentral.
UCCCAGACUCCUACGGGAGGCAGCAGUGGGGAAUAUUGGGCAAUGGGGGAAACCCUGACCCAGCGACGCCGCGUGAGGGAAGAAGGUUUUCGGAUUGUAAACCUCUGUCCUUGGUGACGAUAAUGACGGUAGCCAAGGAGGAAGCCACGGCUAACUACGUGCCAGCAGCCGCGGUAAUACGUAUGGUGCAAGCGUUAUCCGGAUUUACUGGGCGUAAAGGGAGCGCAGGCGGCGCGCCAAGUCUGAUGUGAAACCCCGGGGCUCAACCCCGGGCAUGCAUUGGAAACUGGCGGGCUGGAGUGCCGGAGAGGUAAGCGGAAUUCCUAGUGUAGCGGUGAAAUGCGUAGAUAUUAGGAGGAACACCAGUGGCGAAGGCGGCUUACUGGACGGCAACUGACGCUGAGGCUCGAAAGCGUGGGGAGCAAACAGGAUUAGAUACCCUUGUA